Molecule: long non-coding RNA, 264 nt
Organism: Cyprinus carpio (common carp)
Lineage: Eukaryota; Metazoa; Chordata; Actinopteri; Cypriniformes; Cyprinidae
Exons: 3
Source: RefSeq, a predicted model, not a curated record
CCCGUCUCAAAAGGUUACUGGAUUCUGCUGGAGGACAUUGAUCAUGCUCCUUUGGACGUGAUAUCGGUUCUGCAUCCUCUCAUGGAAAACAAGAAAUUGACUAUUCCAGGACGUGAGGACUGUAUUCAGACGGCCCCAUCAUUCCAGUUUUUUGCAACACGAAGGACAUUUUACAGUGGAGGAGCCUGGCAUCGACCACAGAGUUCACAUGCUGCACUUCUGGACAAAUACUGGAGUAAACUGCAGAUCGGCAACAUGAGCCGA